UAACAUAGCGGCUUCAGAGGGAAU
This 24-nucleotide small RNA is filed under the name Arabidopsis thaliana (thale cress). RNAcentral describes it as "ATSL209230". The record is from RNAcentral. Lineage: Eukaryota; Viridiplantae; Streptophyta; Magnoliopsida; Brassicales; Brassicaceae.